AUUGAACGCUGGCGGCAGGCCUAACACAUGCAAGUCGAGCGGAUGAAGGGAGCUUGCUCCUGGAUUCAGCGGCGGACGGGUGAGUAAUGCCUAGGAAUCUGCCUGGUAGUGGGGGAUAACGUCCGGAAACGGGCGCUAAUACCGCAUACGUCCCGAGGGCGGAAGUGGGGGAUCUUCGGACUUCACGCUAUCAGAUGAGCCUAGGUCGGAUUAGCUAGUUGGUGGGGUAAAGGCCUACCAAGGCGACGAUCCGUAACUGGUCUGAGAGGAUGAUCAGUCACACUGGAACUGAGACACGGUCCAGACUCCUACGGGAGGCAGCAGUGGGGAAUAUUGGACAAUGGGCGAAAGCCUGAUCCAGCCAUGCCGCGUGUGUGAAGAAGGUCUUCGGAUUGUAAAGCACUUUAAGUUGGGAGGAAGGGCAGUAAGUUAAUACCUUGCUGUUUUGACGUUACCAACAGAAUAAGCACCGGCUAACUUCGUG
Molecule: ribosomal RNA, 484 nt
Filed under: uncultured bacterium
Lineage: Bacteria
Description: partial 16S ribosomal RNA
Rfam family: Bacterial small subunit ribosomal RNA
Source: RNAcentral